Molecule: RNA transcript, 669 nt
Organism: Rhinopithecus roxellana (golden snub-nosed monkey)
Lineage: Eukaryota; Metazoa; Chordata; Mammalia; Primates; Cercopithecidae
Gene name: tryptophan--tRNA ligase, cytoplasmic pseudogene
Exons: 1
Source: RefSeq, a predicted model, not a curated record
GACAGAUAUCCAGUGCCUUAUCCCAUGUGCCAUUGACCAGGAUCCUUACUUUAGAAUGACAAGGGACGUCGCCCCCAGGAUUGGCUAUCCUAAACCAGCCCUGCUGCACUCCACCUUCUUCCCUGCCCUGCAGGGCGCCCAGACCAAAAUGAGUGCCAGCGACCCCAACUCCUCCAUCUUCCUCACUGACACGACAAAGCAGAUCAAAACCAAGGUCAAUAAGCAUGCAUUUUCUGGAGGGAGAGACACCAUCGAGGAGCACAGGCAGUUUGGGGGCAACUGUGAUGUGGACGUGUCUUUCAUGUACCUGACCUUCUUCCUCGAGGACGACGACAAGCUCGAGCAGAUCAAGAAGGAUUACACCAGCGGUGCCAUGCUCACCGGUGAGCUCAAGAAGGUACUCAUAGAGGUUCUCCAGCCCUUGAUCGCAGAGCACCAGGCCCGGCGCAAGGAGGUCACGGACGAGAUAGCAAAAGAGUUCAUGACUCCCCGGGAGCUGUCCUUCGACUUUCAGUAGCACUCGUUUUACAUAUGCUUAUAAAAGAAGUGAUGUAUCAAUAAUCCCAGCCCAGUCAAAGCACCACCACCCGUAGGCUUCUGUCUCAUGAUAAUUAUUGGGCCUGGUCUCUGUAAGCCUGUGUAUGUUAUCAAUACUGUUUCUUCCUGUGA